GGAGUAGCUCAAUUGGCAGAGCAGCUGAUUUGUAAUCAGCAGGUUGCGGGUUCAAGUCCCAUCUCC
Molecule: transfer RNA, 66 nt
Filed under: human gut metagenome
Rfam family: tRNA
About the family: Transfer RNA (tRNA) molecules are approximately 80 nucleotides in length. Their secondary structure includes four short double-helical elements and three loops (D, anti-codon, and T loops).
Source: RNAcentral